UCAUUUUUCUUGCCCCCGUGAGUUUCGUUUAUUCGUUUUUCCCUUCAUCUUCUCUUUUGCUCUCCUUCCUCCUCCCCCUUCUUCUUCCUCCGAAUUCGAGCGGAGGACAGAGGCGGCGGCGACCGUGUGGAUGGGGCUUAGCAGGCGGCGGCAUCGACGGGACGGGGAGGGAUCGAGGAGUCGGCUCGCCACCUCGCAUUCGCGACCUUCAAAUGCAAGCUAUGAGUAAAUUUCCUAGAAACAUGCACCUGGGGAGAACAUUGAUGAGGUUCCUUGUUCAAAUUUCUACUGUCUACUACUGCUUAAAAGUUAAAACCUUCAGUAGUGAAACGGAGGAGAUCUCAGGGAAUGGCUGAAGUUGCAUUGGACCAAUCUUGGUCCGACAAGCCUCCAAGACAAACUUGGAUUCAAUUUCGUUCUGGCAGAUCGGUAUGAAUGCCAUCCUCGCAAGCAUUGCGCAAGUUGAUAGUGGUGAUAUUCUUGAAAAGAAAAAAUCGAUAGUGGUAAUGAGAAAAGCACAGGAGGAGGACAAGAGGACAAGUGAGGCGGCAAGCUAAGAAGACGGUGGCUUGGCGUGCUUGGCGUAAUCUAACUUGAUUACCAGGCAGAGGCAGACAAACACAGCUGGAUUCUAGCUCGAUGGAAGAUGUUCCUGCCACAUGUGCAUGCAUUCAUGCUGGCUUAAGGAAAUUAUUCAGGGAGACAUGAUGCCCAAGCAAGAAGAUCGAGGGCAGGGCUGCUCCAGAUGAGAUCAUCAGCCGCAGCUACACCUCUACCUCUGCUUCUUGUUUUCCUCUACCUGUAGGCUGUAGCAACAACAAGUUUUCCUCUACCCCUCUGCUUCUUGUUUAGCAACAACAAUAGUACUACUGCUCUGCUUCCUGUGUGUCAUCUGCAUCAAUGAUCUGUGAUGAUCUAUUGGAUGUAUCUCAGUAUCUGUGCUUAUAGCUUUCCACCAUCGAAUCGAACAUGCACGACUCAUUUUCUGGUAUUUCUCAGUCAAAUUUCUUUAAAUUUGAUCAAAUUUAUAAAAGAAAAACAUAGCAAUAUUUUCAGUACAAAACAAACAUACUAUGAGAAUGUAUUAUAUUUAUUUGAUGUUAGAUUUAAUAAAAUUAAUAUGAUAUUGUAGAUGUAUUAGUACUA
Oryza sativa Japonica Group (Japanese rice) is the source of this 1146-nucleotide long non-coding RNA. RefSeq lists it as uncharacterized. The record is from RefSeq and is a predicted model, not a curated record. NCBI's taxonomy places the organism in Eukaryota, Viridiplantae, Streptophyta, Magnoliopsida, Poales, Poaceae.